UUUUAUUUGAGAGUUUGAUCCUGGCUCAGGAUGAACGCUGGCGGCGUGCCUAACCCAUGCAAGUUGAGCGAUUUACUUCGGUAAAGAGCGGCGGACGGGUGAGUAACGCGUGGGUAACCUACCCUGUACACACGGAUAACAUACCGAAAGGUAUGCUAAUACGGGAUAAUAUAUUUGAGAGGCAUCUCUUAAAUAUCAAAGGUGAGCCAGUACAGGAUGGACCCGCGUCUGAUUAGCUAGUUGGUAAGGUAACGGCUUACCAAGGCGACGAUCAGUAGCCGACCUGAGAGGGUGAUCGGCCACAUUGGAACU
This 312-nucleotide ribosomal RNA is filed under the name Clostridioides difficile. RNAcentral's name for it is "bacterial SSU rRNA". It matches the Rfam family "Bacterial small subunit ribosomal RNA", at positions 1 to 320 of the family's 1533-position model. Lineage: Bacteria; Bacillati; Bacillota; Clostridia; Peptostreptococcales; Peptostreptococcaceae. The record is from RNAcentral.